This 465-nucleotide ribosomal RNA is filed under the name uncultured bacterium. RNAcentral's name for it is "partial 16S ribosomal RNA". It matches the Rfam family "Bacterial small subunit ribosomal RNA", at positions 338 to 795 of the family's 1533-position model. The record is from RNAcentral.
CCUACGGGUGGCAGCAGUAGGGAAUCUUCCACAAUGGACGAAAGUCUGAUGGAGCAACGCCGCGUGAGUGAAGAAGGGUUUCGGCUCGUAAAGCUCUGUUGGUAGUGAAGAAAGAUAGAGGUAGUAACUGGCCUUUAUUUGACGGUAAUAACUUAGAAAGUCACGGCUAACUACGUGCCAGCAGCCGCGGUAAUAUGUAGGUGGCAAGCGUUGUCCGGAUUUUUUGGGCGUAAAGCGAGUGCAGGCGGUUCAAUAAGUCUGAUGUGAAAGGCUUCGGCUCAACCGGAGAAUUGCAUCAGAAACUGUUGAACUAGAGUGCAGAAGAGGAGAGUGGAACUCCGUGUGUAGCGGUGGAAUGCGUAGAUAUAUGGAAGAACACCAGUGGCGAAGGCGGCUUUCUGGUCAGCAACUGACGCUGAGGCUCGAAAGCAUGGGUAGCGAACAGGAUUAGAUACCCCGGUAGUC